AUUUAGCCAGCUGAGUGGGGAGGAGAGAGGGACAGAGAGCCUGCUUGCUUUAAAGGAGCCAACCGGACAGGAGCCGCUUACACUCGUGUAAGCGGCUCCUCUCCUCUCCUGCUUUGCUCCUUUAAAGCAAGCAGGCUCUCUGUCCCUCUCUCCUCCCCACUCAGCGGCUCUUCUC
RNAcentral lists this microRNA precursor (175 nucleotides) under Podarcis lilfordi (Lilford's wall lizard). Lineage: Eukaryota; Metazoa; Chordata; Lepidosauria; Squamata; Lacertidae. The record is from RNAcentral.